Non-coding RNA from Bactrocera oleae (olive fruit fly), 1767 nucleotides. The record is from RefSeq and is a predicted model, not a curated record. NCBI's taxonomy places the organism in Eukaryota, Metazoa, Arthropoda, Insecta, Diptera, Tephritidae.
CGUGUGUCAAAAGGUUCGAGGUUAUGAUAAGUUCUAUUGAAAAACAAAAAUUCGAAUAUAUGUUAUCGGCGGUUUUGAUGGCAUGAAAAAUAAAAGUUUGUUAAAAUUGCUCACCAAUUUUGAAGAACUAGUAUAUCUUUUUUUUACUGUAUUUACAAGAUGCUGACCAAACUAUAAAAGGCGUUUUUAUAGUUUUUAUGUCGAGUUCCUGAAAGCAGUUAUAAAAUCCAAACAACUGAAAUUGUAAUUGCAGCUAUAUCUGCCCGGCUAUUUGUUAUCCACGUAAACAUUUCUUUAGCACGUCUGGGAACAAACUGUGGCUCAUAAGAGGAGAAUUUGAGCGUGGAGUACAAUCUUUGGAUAGAAAGACCCAAAAUUAAAUCGAUCAAAUUCUAGACGGGGAAACAAUAUGAGUACCACAAAUAGAGUUUUCUUGACGAUGACACGUUAAGAAUGCGAAUAUGCAUAGUAAAGAGUCCCAGCAUAGUAAGCAGAAAGAAGAGAGAACUGCCAUUUCGAUACAACGUUAAAAACCAAAUGGAUUUAAGCGAGAUUAACCCUUUGCUCGACAGUCUGAUUUACGUAAACGAGACGAAACCGGAUGUUUAUCCGUCUAAGGACUGCUACAACAACAACAACAACCGAGAAAUUGUAAGAACUAAUAACCCGCGAAGUGUUAAGUUACGCUCUCUACAUAGCGUAGCAAAGAUUGGUAGCAACGCGAGCUACAUAUAAGAGAGAAUUGGAAAAGAAAGCGACCUGCAUUUGGGCAACUAAACUUGAAAGAACGAAAAGACGAUAUGAAAUUUAAAGGGUAACCGGAAGCUCGACCAGAUGUGUAACAACUCUGGAAUGUUUUUAUGAAUGAAAAGAUGCUGCUUCUCCAAUCUUCUGAUAAUUUGUCUUCAUUGAAAGCAUUCGUUCAUUUAUUGUUGUUGCACUAGUUAGACUAUAAAGUAUAUGAUUGUGGCCAUCUCAUUCUCAUACCGACUAAACGGUGUCGCUCGCAAUUGGUUGCAUCAUUAGAUGAACAAAUUAAUACAUAUACAUAUGUAUAUACCAUACAUAGGUAUGUAUGUACCUGUAUCUAUGCAUUUUCGCCACCGAGCUGCUGCCGAGCUCUGCCAUAUUUACUAUAAUUACCAGGAAACAUUAAACUUGCGCCGUUUGAUAUACAUACUUACAUAAUUAUGCUAUAUUAUUUGUAUCGUUCUGGUUAUGUAAUUUGUUGUCUCUCGAAUGGGCAGUAGCCGGAAUGGACCCGGAUUUUUAUCCGGCCAAGUACUGUCAACUCGGCACCAUUCCUCGAAAUUACUUCAGGAAUGUUGUUGUUGUAACUGUUAUCUACUCCCGCUUGGGAGGUAAGUUUCACUUUGGUUGUCGUCGAGGUCAUCUAACAGAAGGCCUAGGAAACGAGCUGUUUCGGCGGGGUCGGACCAUAGGAUAAGGGUGUUAGAUGAGUGGGGCUCGUUGAACAUGCAAAGAGGUGGUUAGUUUUAGUUUUACUUCAGGAAUGUUUUCUGCUCUGCUACUGCAACAACAACAAAUACUACGCUUAUAAAUAACCGAAAUGAAAAUCCAAUCAAGUCGAAACUCAUUCUGCACUCUAUAUUCAACAGUGUAAAGUGGUCGGGCUUUCGCCAGCGUGCAUAUAUUCCUCAUUCAAAAGCCGUUAUACCAUUUAGUUCAACUUAACAUUUUCAACUUUAUUUCUGAAUGAAAAUGAAAAUAACUGAGCUGGCGCAUGCCGUUGGUGUACUAGCAUAA